Cydia pomonella (codling moth) is the source of this 1213-nucleotide long non-coding RNA. RefSeq lists it as uncharacterized. The transcript has 2 exons. The record is from RefSeq and is a predicted model, not a curated record. NCBI's taxonomy places the organism in Eukaryota, Metazoa, Arthropoda, Insecta, Lepidoptera, Tortricidae.
AUCAAAGACAAACCGGAUAGAUUUUAUAAAGCGGUAUCAUAGAGAAGAAAAAUAGGUGUUGCCUGUUUAUAUUAACAGACAAUACAUGUCAAGUACACGAUUUCUAACAAGUACCAUCAACGUCGUUUGCGUUGAUGAAGUUCCCAUGGUGCCGUUCUGUCGACUGGUCUACCAAAUCUCCCUCCCUACCCAUUAUUACAUUUAGCCCCCGUAAUUCCUAUGUUUAUAAAUGAUACCGUUGUAAUAAACACGAAAAUAAUGAUCAUUUACCAACAUAUAAAAAACAAAAAAGAAAUUGUCACAAGUAUCGACUGUUGCUUCCAACAUUUUAUACAAUGUGUCCGGUCAACGAUGUCGGAGCCGUUAAGGGCGUGUAGUACAAUCGAUUUCACCGAUAAACAGAGAUGUGUCUUAUUUGAAAUACUUGUAUUUAAAAUGCAAAUACAAAAUGCAAAAUACCUAUUUUGUAUUUAAAUACCUUUUAAAGAAAACUAUUUUGUAUUUUAAGUAUUUCAAAUAGUUUUUGGGACCUAUUUUCUAUUUUCAAAAUACAAAAUACUUUUUAUUAGGUAAAGUAAGUAGGAGUUACAAUCUCUUCUGACGUUACAAUCCUUGCAACUCUCCCAUUCUUUUAUGGCAACCGGUCUGGCCUAGUGGGUAGUGACCCUGCCUAUGAAGCCGAUGGUCCCGGGUUCAAAUCCUGGUAAGGGCAUUUAUUUGUGUGAUGAACACAGAUAUUUGUUCCUGAGUCAUGGGUGUUUUCUGUGUUUUUUUUUUUUAGUUUAUUUAUUCACUAUGAAUGUUUUGAAACAGGGUUUAACACAAUAAGCCACUAUUGAAAACCUCUAGGAUUUAUGUAAUAGUUGGCGAGAUCGCGCGGACCGAUCCGCGUUUGCUUAAUACUAUUUUUACAUACUUAGUUAUGUUUUCCUGUCGAAGCUGUUAUUGUAUCUAUCGUUUAAAUAUCGACCUUAUGUAUAUGUAUUUAAUUAUUUAUAAAUAUUUAUAUAUGUCAUUGUCUAGUACCCACAACACAAUCCUUAAUGAGCUUAUUACUGUGGUACUUAGUCAAUUUGUGUAAUUUGUUCGAGGGGGGUGGGGUUAGGGUCGGCAACGCGCAUGUAACUCCUCUGGAGUUGCAGGUGUACAUAGGCUACGGAGACUGCUUACCAUCAGGCAGACCGUAUGCUUGUUUGCCACCGACGUAGUAUUA